AAUUCCUUUUUAUUAAGGGAAUGGUAGAGGUGAAAAAAGUGGGUGGUGAGUUUAGUGGGGAUGAUCAAAAUGAUGGAAGUGGUGGUGGUGGUGUCUCAUUCCCCAAGCUGGAGGCCCUCUUGUUCAGGAAAUGCCAAAUUGGGAGGAGUGGGAAUUGAGAGGUGGAGAUGGAGAGGUUAUGCCAUCACUCCUUGAAUUAACAAUAGAUGACUGCCCAAAGCUGAAGGCGUUGCACUUACCUGUGCUCCCCACCCUUAAUAAUUUGACGAUUGAUGGAAUUCAUGAGCUGACGUCACUACCUGGUGAUUGGUUGGGACAACUAAGAGCCCUCCAAACUCUAGAGAUCUCAUUUUGUCCACAGUUGGAGUCUCUACCAGGGGAGUUGGGACAACUCAAAGCCCUCCAAACUCUGGGGAUCGUUGAAUGUCCACAGUUGAAGUCUCUACCAGAGGAGUUGGGACAACUCGAAGUCCUCUAAACUCUGCGGAUCGUUGAAUGUCCACAGUUGAAGUCUCUACCAGAGGAGUUGGGACAACUCAAAGCUCUCCAAACUCUGCAGAUAAUGGAAUUGUCCACAGUUGAAGUCUCUACCAGAGGAGUUGGGACAACUCAAAGCCCUCCAAACUCUGGAGAUCUAUGGAUGUCCACAGUUGGGAGUCUCUACCAAAGGAGUUGGGACAACUCAAAGCCCUCCAAACUCUGGAAAUCUCCAUUUGUCCACAGUUGAAGUCUCUGCCGGAAGAGUUGCAACACCUCACCAUGCUUCAACAAUUGAUCAUCCAUAUUUGUCCACUCUUAAAAGAGCGCUACCAAGAUGGAGGAGAAGAUCAUCACAAGAUUGCCCACAUCAAGCAUAUCAGCAUUGAAUGAUCCACUCCAAUACGAGGAGAGGAAAUCAACAACAGCUUUUCAUUUGUGUUUGUUUCAAGGAAUUGUGUACUUUAUAUUUAUUUAUUUUUAUUUUCCUUUUUUUAAUGGAUUUACUUUUAAUACAUGUAAAUUAAUCCAUAUGACUGCCUGUUUACUUAUUCCACAUAUUGUUGUUUGUUGUUUUGGAGGUCAGGUAUUUUGCCCCCCUCCAACUUAUGUAACUUUUCCUUUUAUUAAUAAAGCUUGCAUUGGUACUGUCCACCUU
Long non-coding RNA from Magnolia sinica, 1135 nucleotides. RefSeq lists it as uncharacterized. The transcript is spliced from 2 exons. The record is from RefSeq and is a predicted model, not a curated record. Lineage: Eukaryota; Viridiplantae; Streptophyta; Magnoliopsida; Magnoliales; Magnoliaceae.